Molecule: long non-coding RNA, 847 nt
Filed under: Homo sapiens (human)
Lineage: Eukaryota; Metazoa; Chordata; Mammalia; Primates; Hominidae
Description: long non-coding RNA NONHSAT149230.1
Source: RNAcentral
CGCGCACAGUCCCUCCACGCGGAAAGAAGUACCUUCGCCGGUCACCGGCUCCUGCAGGGUGCAAAUAUAUACAGAGCUUCAUAAUCAGCCCAAGACCACAUAGAGCAAACAUGAAUGAUAUUUCCCAAAAGGCUGAGAUUCUGCUUUCUUCAUCUAAACCUGUCCCAAAAACCUAUGUACCAAAACUUGGCAAGGGUGAUGUAAAGGAUAAGUUUGAAGCCAUGCAGAGAGCCAGGGAAGAAAGAAAUCAAAGGAGAUCUAGAGACGAAAAACAAAGAAGAAAAGAACAAUAUAUUAGAGAGAGAGAAUGGAACAGGAGAAAGCAGGAGAUUAAAGAAAUGCUUGCUUCUGAUGAUGAGGAAGAUGUAUCUUCUAAAGUAGAAAAGGCUUAUGUUCCAAAAUUAACAGGAACUGUGAAGGGUAGAUUUGCUGAAAUGGAGAAACAAAGACAAGAGGAACAAAGGAAGAGAACGGAGGAGGAACGAAAACGCAGAAUUGAGCAGGAUAUGUUAGAAAAGAGGAAAAUACAGCGUGAAUUAGCAAAAAGGGCUGAACAGGAGAUGAUUCACUACUUAUAACUGUGGUACCUGUCAAAUCAUAUAAAACAUCUGGAAAAAUGAAAAAGAAUUUUGAGGAUCUAGAAAAAGAACGUGAAGAGAAAGAAAGGAUCAAGUACGAGGAAGAUAAAAGAAUAAGAUAUGAAGAACAACGACCAUCUCUCAAGGAAGCAAAGUGUCUUUCAUUAGUUAUGGAUGAUGAAAUAGAAAGUGAAGCAAAAAAAGAAUCACUUUCUCCCGGAAAAUUGAAACUAACUUUUGAAGAACUGGAGCGACAAAGACAAGAAAAC